RNAcentral lists this long non-coding RNA (714 nucleotides) under Hordeum vulgare. Its description in RNAcentral is "long non-coding RNA (HVUL_LNC011704)". The record is from RNAcentral. Lineage: Eukaryota; Viridiplantae; Streptophyta; Magnoliopsida; Poales; Poaceae.
AUUAGUACAGCAACAUCAGAUUAUUAUGGGAUGCCAUCAUCUUGCAAUAACAGCAAGAACAGCAACACAUCUAGCUUAACUCAACCUCGGGUCCUAGCAGCACCUGCUGGGUGGACAUUCCAGUCCAAACCCAACUCCACAAGCACACUGCUUACUGAUUUGCAACCUUCAUGCAGGCGGAACAUCGACAACAACAAAUAAUAGUAAAAGACAAGGGAGGGAGGGAGGUGCCUCCGUUUGCCAUCGAUAGCAAUAGAUCCAGGUUGUGGUCACAGCCUUCUUCGUGCCAUCAGCUUAAUCAACAUCGCCUCCUGCACCCGGUGUGGUGUCAGGCGCUUCUUCAUCAGGCUGAUUUGCUGCUGCUCGUCCUAAUACCUGCAUGGACAAGUGGAGGUUAGUUACAUGGCAAGCACAUAAUAAAACAAACUGCAAUGCAUGUAUGUUCAUCUACAUUGUAGAGUACAGACGAUGGGGUUGACUUCAAAUGUUUGCUCCUAUAGUACUUAGGCAGACGGAAAAUAACCUACAAGCUAAUACCAUGUUACAAGCUGAUGGGAAAAUAACCAGCAUUUAUAAGAUUUUUUACACACGCACAAGUCAACCAUGUCAUGGUGAGCUGCAGGCAUGAGGAGUAUAUGGUUGUACAUAUCAAAAGAAGAACCUACUUGGACCAACAUAACAACCUGAAUAACCUACAAGCUAAUAAUAACUGAC